RNAcentral lists this ribosomal RNA (253 nucleotides) under uncultured bacterium. RNAcentral describes it as "partial 16S ribosomal RNA". It matches the Rfam family "Bacterial small subunit ribosomal RNA", at positions 524 to 776 of the family's 1533-position model. The record is from RNAcentral.
UACGGAGGGUGCGAGCGUUGUCCGGAAUCACUGGGCGUAAAGGGCGCGUAGGUGGCCCGACAAGUCAACGGUGAAAGCUCGAUGCUCAACAUCGAGUCGGCCGUCGAUACUGUCAGGCUGGAGCACUGUAGAGGCUCAUGGAAUUCCGGGUGUAGCGGUGGAAUGCGUAGAGAUCCGGAAGAACACCGGUAGCGAAGGCGGUGAGCUGGGCAGUAGCUGACACUGAGGCGCGACAGCGUGGGGAGCAAACAGG